GGACCACAACCCAGAAGCUGUCAUCUUAUCAGCUAGUAGACACUUCCGAGGCCGAGAGCUGGGAGAUGCGCACCUGUUCUGUACUCUGCUGUCCCAGCAGCAUCGCACUAGGCGAUGCUGUCAUGCUGUUGCUUGUCAGAGCUGAGCAGGCUGUUUGCAUUACAGUGUCACCGCAUGGUGGGCCUUUCUUUCCCAGCCACACCAGGUAAUAGUCUACAUAGGGGGGUCCUGGAAAUCCCCCCUGCUCAAACACCAACAGACCGAAAGUCCCCCCUCCUUCUGUCUCUGCACUUGACAUGGAUUUCUCCCUCCCCUUCUACAGGCAGCUCUCCUGCUGUGUUCAGGGCAGCCCAACAAUCUCAUUGUGUUGUAAAAAAGCACUACUGCUCGCCCUACAGUCAGUCCCAUAAAAUCUGAUGAUGAUAACGCUGCGGAAGCAGGUCCCUCAAUAGAAGUCUUGAGCAGCAGAAGGCGGCCUCCUGAACCACACAAAAAAUGGAAACAUGUCCCUACAAAGAAAGCCAGGUCUGAUGGCCACUCCCAAUCACUGCAGGCUACCCCACCACGAAGAUUGUCUGCAGUUUCUACGGUCCCACCACUCCAAAUUUUGGACACACCUCCAAGACGCCAACCACACUGAAUACAAGUACUGCUACCAGCAUCCCUACGCAACACCAGCUACACAGUGACAUGGAUGAGACAAUAAUUUUACAAAUGCUGCCAGUAAUUGAAGGAAAUAGCCCCCCACCACCUGUGAGUACACCACCACAGCAAAACACACAACCACCACCACCACCACCACCACCACCGCCACCACAACACAGCCCAACAACACCAGUAGCACAAGGCCCUGAUCAAGUGUUUUGGGAUAAUUGGGCUACACAGCAGGCAACUAAUCAGGAUUGCCUGCGUAGGCAGACCCAAAUAUUUUCCAGCCUACCAUCUCACCUCAGAAGAAUCAGCAGAAAUAUCAGCCACCAAAAUGAACCAACCACGAGAAUUGCCAAUACCACAGAAAUCAGGCGGGCAGACAUUACACAUGUCAUGGGCAACUUACAACACAUAAUAGAAGAACAGCACAGACAACAGCAAAGGUACCUCAAGAUUUUAGAAACCAAUCAAAUGAUCAAUGAAUCUAUCACCAGAAUUUUAGAAAAUUAAAAUGCUGCAACACGAGAACUCAAUGCCACCCUCACUAACCUCAAUGAAACACUCAGAUUUCAGCACCAACAGCAACCAAGCAGCAGUUCUGGUAUGACAACUCCAAUUAUAUCGCCUGUGUCCUCACCACCAAGGCACUCCACCAGAGCAUGCCGACACAACAGUGGUAAAGGCAAAGGCCUGUCCAAGCAGCCGCCCAAAAAAACAUAAAACAUAUAGAUACCGAUUUCUGUUAUGAGAAGUUAGUAAGUGUAUGAUUGUGUGUAUAUAUAUAUAUAUAUAUAUAUAUAUAUAUAUACCACUUAGCACCUUAAUAAUUAAACAACAUCAUUAAUUAUAACUGUUACAAACAACAAAAGGACUUUUUUCGUAACAAUGAUUAUUGACAUUCUUUGCAUUUUUUUGGAGGAGGACAAUGUUCUUUGAGCUACACAUUGUUCUUAGCAUGCAGAAAUAAGUCCACAUUAUUUGAUUAUCUAAUGAAUACUUCUUGAUUCCAAUCAGUCUCAUAUCCUGCAGCUGUACUAAUUGGCAGCCAUGUAGAAUGUAUUUAUCAUGAAGAAAUAAGUCCACAUUAUUUGAUUAUCUAAUGAAUAAUUCUUGAUUCCAAUCAGUCUCAUAUCCUGCAGCUGUACUAAUUGGCAGCCAUGCAGCAUGUCUUUAGCAUGCAGAAAUAAGUCCACAUUAUUUGAUUAGCUAAUGAAUACUUCGUGAUUCCAAUCAGUCUCAUAUCAUGCAGCUUUACUAAUUGGCAGCCAUGCAGAAUGUCUUUAGCAUGCAGAAAUAAGUCCACAUUAUUUGAUUAUCUAAUGAAUAAUUCUUGAUUCCAAUCAGUCUCAUAUCCUGCAGCUAUACUAAUUGGCAGCCAUGCAGAAUGUCUUUAGCAUGCAGAAAUAAGUCCACAUUAUUUGAUUAGCUAAUGAAUACUUCGUGAUUCCAAUCAGUCUCAUAUCCUGCAGCUUUACUAAUUGGCAGCCAUGCAGAAUGUCUUUAGCAUGCAGAAAUAAGUCCACAUUAUUUGAUUAGCUAAUGAAUCAUUCUUGAUUCCAAUCAGUCUCAUAUCCUGCAGCUUUACUAAUUGGCAGCCAUGCAGAUGAACUCAUGAUCCAUACAACUUACAAUGUGAAUUUUUACUUAUUUACAUUUCUUCUAUAGACGACAUUACAAUAAUAACACUAUUGUGUUAGAAGAGAGUGUCCUAAUAUGUUGUUUCAAAAUUGAGAUCAUUAUUUUUUUAAAAGAUUGACAUUAUUGUUCUGCCAUGUUUGUGUGUGGUAAAAAGGAGUAAUCUGCUUCUAAAAUAUGAUGCAUAACAAAAGAAAUAUAAAACAUUUCAAAAUCCAAA
Pseudophryne corroboree (corroboree frog) is the source of this 2506-nucleotide long non-coding RNA. RefSeq lists it as uncharacterized. NCBI's taxonomy places the organism in Eukaryota, Metazoa, Chordata, Amphibia, Anura, Myobatrachidae. The record is from RefSeq and is a predicted model, not a curated record. The transcript is spliced from 4 exons.